This 505-nucleotide ribosomal RNA is filed under the name uncultured bacterium. RNAcentral's name for it is "partial 16S ribosomal RNA". It matches the Rfam family "Bacterial small subunit ribosomal RNA", at positions 28 to 507 of the family's 1533-position model. The record is from RNAcentral.
GACGAACGCUGGCGGCGUGCCUAAUACAUGCAAGUAGAACGCACAGUUUAUACCGUAGCUUGCUACACCAUAGACUGUGAGUUGCGAACGGGUGAGUAACGCGUAGGUAACCUGCCUGGUAGCGGGGCAUAACUAUUGGAAACGAUAGCUAAUACCGCAUAAUAUUAAUUAUUGCAUGAUAAUUAAUUGAAAGGUGCAAUUGCACCACUACCAGAUGGACCUGCGUUGUAUUGGCUAGUAGGGGAGGUAACGGCUCACCUAGUCGAAGAGACAUAGCCGACUCGGGGGGGUGAUCGGCCAAAACGGGAAUGGGAACAGGCCCAGAACCCCACGGGAGGGAGCAGUAGGGAAUCUUCGGCCAUGGACGAAAGUCUGAACGAGGAAAGCCGCGUGAGUGAAGAAGGUUUUCGGAUCGUAAAGCCGUGUUGUAAGAGAAGAAAGGGUGUGAGAGUGGAAAGUUCACACUGUGACGGUACCUUAACAGAAAGGGACGGCUAACUACGUG